GAUGAACGCUAGCGGGAGGCCUAACACAUGCAAGCCGAGCGGUAUUUGUUCUUCGGAACAGAGAGAGCGGCGCACGGGUGCGGAACACGUGUGCAACCUGCCUUUAUCUGGGGGAUAGCCUUUCGAAAGGAAGAUUAAUACCCCAUAAUAUAUUGAGUGGCAUCCUUUGAUAUGGAAAACUCCGGUGGAUAGAGAUGGGCACGCGCAAGAUUAGAUAGUUGGUGAGGUAACGGCUCGCCAAGUCAAUGAUCUUUAGGGGGCCUGAGAGGGUGAUCCCCCACACUGGUACUGAGACACGGACCAGACUCCUACGGGAGGCAGCAGUGAGGAAUAUUGGAGAAUGGGUUAGCGCCUGAUCCAGCCAUCCCGCGUGAAGGACGACGGCCCUAGGGGUUGUAAACUUCUGUUGGAUAGGGAUAAACCUACUCUCGUGAGAGUAGCUGAAGGUACUAGACGAAUAAGCACCGGCUAACUCCGUG
This 479-nucleotide ribosomal RNA is filed under the name uncultured bacterium. RNAcentral's name for it is "partial 16S ribosomal RNA". It matches the Rfam family "Bacterial small subunit ribosomal RNA", at positions 28 to 507 of the family's 1533-position model. The record is from RNAcentral.